UACGAGUGCCUCAAGCGUUAUCCGGAAUUAUUGGGCGUAAAGAGCUCGUAGGCGGUUUGUCGCGUCUGCUGUGAAAACUCGGGGCUUAACUCCGGGCCUGCAGUGGGUACGGGCAGACUAGAGUGCGGUAGGGGAGACUGGAAUUCCUGGUGUAGCGGUGAAAUGCGCAGAUAUCAGGAGGAACACCGGUGGCGAAGGCGGGUCUCUGGGCCGUAACUGACGCUGAGGAGCGAAAGCGUGGGGAGCGAACAGG
This 253-nucleotide ribosomal RNA is filed under the name uncultured bacterium. RNAcentral's name for it is "partial 16S ribosomal RNA". It matches the Rfam family "Bacterial small subunit ribosomal RNA", at positions 524 to 776 of the family's 1533-position model. The record is from RNAcentral.